GGGGAAUUUUCCGCAAUGGGCGCAAGCCUGACGGAGCAAUACCGCGUGAGGGAGGAAGGCUCUUGGGUCGUAAACCUCUUUUCUCAGGGAAGAAAAAAUGACGGUACCUGAGGAAUCAGCAUCGGCUAACUCCGUGCCAGCAGCCGCGGUAAUACGGAGGAUGCAAGCGUUAUCCGGAAUGAUUGGGCGUAAAGCGUCCGCAGGUGGCAGUGAAAGUCUGCUGUCAAAGGUCAGGGCUCAACCCUGAACAGGCAGUGGAAACUACACAGCUAGAGUGCGGUGGGGGCAGAGGGAAUUCCCAGUGUAGCGGUGAAAUGCGUAGAGAUUGGGAAGAACACCGGUGGCGAAAGCGCUCUGCUAGGCCGCAACUGACACUCAUGGACGAAAGCUAGGGGAGCGAAUGGGAUUAGAUACCCCAGU
This 420-nucleotide ribosomal RNA is filed under the name uncultured Chroococcidiopsis sp. RNAcentral describes it as "bacterial SSU rRNA". It matches the Rfam family "Bacterial small subunit ribosomal RNA", at positions 356 to 791 of the family's 1533-position model. Lineage: Bacteria; Bacillati; Cyanobacteriota; Cyanophyceae; Chroococcidiopsidales; Chroococcidiopsidaceae. The record is from RNAcentral.